CUUUACUGUAGCCUGGAAUUGGGUCCGGGCUUCGCUUGCGCAGGAUAGGUGGGAGGCACUGAAACACUCCUUGUGGGGAGUGUGGAGCCAACGGUGAGAUACCACUCUAGCGAGGCUAGGAUUCUAACCUUAGCCCCUCAACGGGGUGAGGGACCGUUUCAGGCGGGCAGUUUGACUGGGGCGGUCGCCUCCUAAAAGGUAACGGAGGCGCGCAAUGGUGCUCUCAGGCUGGUUGGAAAUCAGCCCGUGAAGUGCAAAGGCAUAAGGGAGCUUGACUGCAAGAGCCACACCUCGAGCAGGGACGAAAGUCGGCCUUAGUGAUCCGACGGCGCUGAGUGGAAGGGCCGUCGCUCAACGGAUAAAAGUUA
This 368-nucleotide ribosomal RNA is filed under the name uncultured organism. Its description in RNAcentral is "bacterial LSU rRNA". It matches the Rfam family "Bacterial large subunit ribosomal RNA", at positions 2099 to 2465 of the family's 2925-position model. The record is from RNAcentral.